Eleginops maclovinus (Patagonian blennie) is the source of this 1379-nucleotide long non-coding RNA. RefSeq lists it as uncharacterized. Lineage: Eukaryota; Metazoa; Chordata; Actinopteri; Perciformes; Eleginopidae. The transcript has 4 exons. The record is from RefSeq and is a predicted model, not a curated record.
AUGGCUAACUGCUUGUCAAUAAGACGCUACAAACGUGUUUGUCGAAGGGGAUGGUAGCCUACUGUUCAACAAUAGACAUCUUAAGCAUCUUUCUGACAAGAUAGCCGUCCAUGAACGCAGCAUGGACAACGUGGUGAAGUUUGGUGAACAUGUGCAGCCAAACAGCUAGCUAACUCAGAGCGCAUUCAAACAUGGAGCUGGCCAGCGUAUGACUCCACGGUGAGGAGAAAAGGCAGCUGCAGGCCAGAGAGGAUGCACUGCAGAUUGUGAGAGAAGUUGAACCCAGGACUGACCUCUCUGCUUGAAAAAACACAGGGCGGCUGUUGCAGAAAUUGGGUCAGGCAUAAUCUGCAGGGCAGCAGAGCCUGGCUAGUCAUGAUUCUGCUAGGCCUAAUGCUAGAGAGCCACAGGAGGCAGACUUCAAAUGAGAGAAGAUCCAGCCCAGAGGCAGGAUUGGCCUGUGAUGGUGUGCAUCUCUUCUCCACCCUGCAAUGCAUCCACUUCUUAUUAACUUCUGUUAGCUCUACAAGGCAUCUUGCUCAGGUUAUCCGCUUCGUUAUUCCUAGCAGAGUGCAGCAGUGACAAGCAGUGUUUAUAAAUUCAAAAUGAAUCGAAAAGUAUGGCUUUAAAAUCGUUGCAUUAUAUAGUAAUCUGCAGUUCACAACACCGCUUGAUAUUGUGCUUUUUGGCUUAUUUACUUAAGAAACAAAUGGGAAGCUACAGUGUGAGGAAAAUGUGCAUCCCAUUUCCAUUUCUGUAUUCACAGAUACACUUACAAUGCACCUGCCAAGAAGCGUACAAUGUUAUAUUUGAUUUAAUAUUAGAAAGUAUACGGUAAAAUCUGAGUCAACAGCAAUGUUGUAUAAACAGUAAUGGGAUGUUGAUUGGCGCCAGAAUAUUACACGUUUUUUCCUCACUUUAGUCAUGAUUAAAGCAGAGGUGUUCUUUGUUUAAAGCACCUCUGAUAACAUCCUCCUGCAGAUCCACAAUAAAAGAAAUCAACCUUUAAUUUCUGAUUAUACAAUAACACAUCUUGUGCAUUAGUUUGUUUCCCUUCUGUGUUGAAAAUGUGUCGAUAGUUUAAUUAAAUUACACAAAACAUUACACAAAAUAAAACCAAGCAAGCUCAAUUUUCACUGAAAUAGAAAAUUUAUUGAAUGAGAAGAUUAUUAUUGAAGGUCUAAAUUACAAUAGAAACAACGAUAUUCUUCCUUAAAUGGAAUAAUUAUGUUUUUCCUUUCAGGUGAAAUAAAAAGACUGAUGCUUUGCAAUAUAUUUGAAGAAACAAUUAUGAAUAAAAAGUGUGUAAAAGCAUUUUUAUGUGGAACCCAUUUUUUCUUGAAUGUGAUAUGAACGUUAAACUCCAUUAUUUAAUCAGU